Manis javanica (Malayan pangolin) is the source of this 281-nucleotide non-coding RNA. Lineage: Eukaryota; Metazoa; Chordata; Mammalia; Pholidota; Manidae. The record is from RefSeq and is a predicted model, not a curated record.
AUGAACAAGCCAACGCUCAUCUCACCAAAUUCCGAAAAGCCCAGCAUGAACUCGAGGAGGCUGAGGAACGUGCUGAUAUUGCAGAAUCUCAAGUCAAUAAGCUUCGUGCUAAGACCCGAGACUUCACCUCCAGCAGGAUGGUGGUCCAUGAGAGCGAAGAGUGAGUGAUCCUCUUCUGAACAGGACAGAAAAUAUGCAAAAUGUAUAUUUUCAUGAUUCCUAUCAUGCUCAAUUUCCAUGUGACUGCUUUUCACCUGCAUUAAACUUUGUUUUCAAUUUGG